GUGGGGAAUAUUGGACAAUGGGCGAAAGCCUGAUCCAGCCAUGCCGCGUGUGUGAAGAAGGUCUUCGGAUUGUAAAGCACUUUAAGUUGGGAGGAAGGGUAGUAACCUAAUACGUUGCUACUUUGACGUUACCGACAGAAUAAGUACCGGCUAACUUCGUGCCAGCAGCCGCGGUAAUACGAAGGGUGCAAGCGUUAAUCGGAAUUACUGGGCGUAAAGCGCGCGUAGGUGGUUCAGUAAGUUGGAAGUGAAAUCCCCGGGCUCAACCUGGGAACUGCUUUCAAAACUGCUGAGCUAGAGUACGGUAGAGGGUGGUGGAAUUUCCUGUGUAGCGGUGAAAUGCGUAGAUAUAGGAAGGAACACCAGUGGCGAAGGCGACCACCUGGACUGAUACUGACACUGAGGUGCGAAAGCGUGGGGAGCAAACAGGAUUAGAAACCCUUGUAGUCC
Molecule: ribosomal RNA, 450 nt
Filed under: uncultured bacterium
Lineage: Bacteria
Description: partial 16S ribosomal RNA
Rfam family: Bacterial small subunit ribosomal RNA
Source: RNAcentral